CCUACGGGAGGCAGCAGUGAGGAAUAUUGGUCAAUGGGCGCAAGCCUGAACCAGCCAAGUCGCGUGAGGGAUGACGGUCCUAUGGAUUGUAAACCUCUUUUGUCGGGGAGCAAGGCCCGCCACGUGUGGCGGGAAGGAUAGUACCCGCUGACACAGCAUCGGCUAACUCGGUGCUAGCAGCCGCGGUAAUACGGGGGAUGCGAGCGUUGUCCGGAUUUUUUGGGUUUAAAGGGGGCGUAGGUGGAUUGUUAAGUCAGUUGUGAAAGUGUGCGGCUCAACCGUAAAAUGGCAGUUGAUACUGGCAGUCUGGAGUACAGUAGAGGGGGGCGGAAUUCGUGGUGUAGCAGUGAAAUGCUUAGAUAUCGCGAAGAACUCCGAUUGCGAAGGCAGCUCACUGGACAGCAACUGACACUGAGGCUCGAAAGUGUGGGUAUCAAACGGGAUUAGAUACCCGGGUAGUC
This 461-nucleotide ribosomal RNA is filed under the name uncultured bacterium. RNAcentral's name for it is "partial 16S ribosomal RNA". It matches the Rfam family "Bacterial small subunit ribosomal RNA", at positions 338 to 795 of the family's 1533-position model. The record is from RNAcentral.